AUGAAUAUGGCGAAAUGGUAAACGCACUAAAUUUAGAAUUUAGUAUUUUAAUAUAAGAGUUCAACUCUCUUUAUUCAUA
Non-coding RNA from Plasmodium ovale wallikeri, 79 nucleotides. The record is from Rfam. Lineage: Eukaryota; Apicomplexa; Aconoidasida; Haemosporida; Plasmodiidae.